UGGGGAAUAUUGGACAAUGGGGGCAACCCUGAUCCAGCAAUGCCGCGUGUGUGAAGAAGGUCUUCGGAUUGUAAAGCACUUUCGACGGGGACGAUGAUGACGGUACCCGUAGAAGAAGCCCCGGCUAACUUCGUGCCAGCAGCCGCGGUAAUACGAAGGGGGCUAGCGUUGCUCGGAAUGACUGGGCGUAAAGGGCGUGUAGGCGGUUUACACAGUCAGAUGUGAAAUCCCCGGGCUUAACCUGGGAGCUGCAUUUGAUACGUGUAGACUAGAGUGUGAGAGAGGGUUGUGGAAUUCCCAGUGUAGAGGUGAAAUUCGUAGAUAUUGGGAAGAACACCGGUGGCGAAGGCGGCAACCUGGCUCAUGACUGACGCUGAGGCGCGAAAGCGUGGGGAGCAAACAGGAUUAGAUACCCUGGUA
RNAcentral lists this ribosomal RNA (420 nucleotides) under uncultured bacterium. Its description in RNAcentral is "partial 16S ribosomal RNA". It matches the Rfam family "Bacterial small subunit ribosomal RNA", at positions 355 to 792 of the family's 1533-position model. The record is from RNAcentral.